RNAcentral lists this ribosomal RNA (386 nucleotides) under uncultured prokaryote. RNAcentral describes it as "bacterial SSU rRNA". It matches the Rfam family "Archaeal small subunit ribosomal RNA", at positions 339 to 725 of the family's 1478-position model. The record is from RNAcentral.
GCGCGAAAACUUUACAAUGCUGGCAACAGCGAUAAGGGGACCUCGAGUGCCAGGUUACAAAUCUGGCUGUCGUAAUGCCUAAAAAGCAUUGCAUAGCAAGGGCCGGGCAAGACCGGUGCCAGCCGCCGCGGUAACACCGGCGGCUCGAGUGGUAACCGUUAUUAUUGGGUCUAAAGGGUCUGUAGCCGGCCGGAUAAGUCUCUUGGGAAAUCUGGCAGCUUAACUGUCGGGCUUUCAGGAGAUACUGUCUGGCUCGAGGCCGGGAGAGGUGAGAGGUACUUCAGGGGUAGGGGUGAAAUCUUGUAAUCCUUGAAGGGCCACCAGUGGCGAAGGCGUCUCACCAGAACGGACCUGACGGCAAGGGGCGAAAGCUAGGGGCACGAACC